RNAcentral lists this ribosomal RNA (360 nucleotides) under Enterobacteriaceae bacterium. Its description in RNAcentral is "bacterial SSU rRNA". It matches the Rfam family "Bacterial small subunit ribosomal RNA", at positions 452 to 811 of the family's 1533-position model. The record is from RNAcentral. Lineage: Bacteria; Pseudomonadati; Pseudomonadota; Gammaproteobacteria; Enterobacterales; Enterobacteriaceae.
GGUUAAUAACCGCAGCAAUUGACGUUACCCGCAGAAGAAGCACCGGCUAACUCCGUGCCAGCAGCCGCGGUAAUACGGAGGGUGCAAGCGUUAAUCGGAAUUACUGGGCGUAAAGCGCACGCAGGCGGUUCUUAAGUCAGAUGUGAAAUCCCCGGGCUCAACCUGGGAACUGCAUUUGAAACUGGGAAGCUUGAGUCUCGUAGAGGGGGGUAGAAUUCCAGGUGUAGCGGUGAAAUGCGUAGAGAUCUGGAGGAAUACCGGUGGCGAAGGCGACCCCCUGGUCUGAAACUGACGCUCAGGCGCGAAAGCGUGGGGAGCGAACAGGAUUAGAUACCCUGGUAGUCCACGCCGUAAACGAUG